This 951-nucleotide long non-coding RNA is filed under the name Capra hircus (goat). Its description in RNAcentral is "lncRNA (ENSCHIG00000004434.1)". The record is from RNAcentral. Lineage: Eukaryota; Metazoa; Chordata; Mammalia; Artiodactyla; Bovidae.
GCAAUUCUCCAGGGAGCAGCUACAUGUUUCUACGCAUUUGUUGGUUUUGCUGGCAUUGUCAGUGCAGGGAGAAGAGCCAGCCGUCCUCAGUGGUCCAUGCCCUUGGCUGUCGUCAUCUCCUUCUUCAUCUGCUUUUUGGUGUGCUUUGGUGUCUCCGUGGCCCUCACCCUCAUGGUGCCCUACUACCUGAUUCAGCUCGAGAGCCCCUUGCCACAGGCUUUCAUCUAUGUCGGGUGGGACUCUGCCAAAUAUGUCGUGGCUGUUGGCACCCUCUGCAUUCUUUUAUACAGCGGUCAUGGCGUUACUCUUCGACUUCACUACCUGGUGGACCUCAUGUCGUUUCAGUCCCUGCUCGCUUACUCCCUGGUGACAUUUUCUGUCCUUGUCCUCAGGUGAGACCCCAUGACACCUGGACUGGGCCGAAGGUCUUUGACUUGUAAGGGUUGAUGGGGAGGGAAUCAUCUUCCACCUUCAUGCUGCCUCUUCAAUGUCCUGCUACCAUUGAUUGGGGAAAGAGAGGCAUUAGACAGACUGAUGUUGGAUCAGCAGUAGGGCUGUUACUACUAUUGCUUUAAUAUUUCUAAUUCAGGUAUCAACCAGCCCAGAAUGGAAGCCAGGAGAAAACAGAGGAGGAAACUGAGACAAACCCUGAAGUUGAAGGAGGUCCUUUGGAAUCUGAACCUGAAGCAGGAAUCUCAGGCAUUCCAAAGAGUCUGUGGUUCUCUCCCAGCACCACCCCACCUGGAAAUCUGGCCAGAUGUCUAUGGAUGUGCCUCCCUGCUUGGUGAGCAGUGGGAUUUCUCCUUGGUCAUAUUCUGAAAUUGACAGGGUGGUACUGGAUUUGUAUUUUGUCAGUUGAGGAGUCUUGGAGAUAUGAUGGCCCCUCCUGAUGUGGGCAGCCUGGGGAGGGAUGUGACCCAAGGUCCUGACAUCUUUGUCUUCUGGGUCCAG